UAGCCUGCAUUGGAAGAUUAGCAGUGGUC
RNAcentral lists this non-coding RNA (29 nucleotides) under Mus musculus (house mouse). Lineage: Eukaryota; Metazoa; Chordata; Mammalia; Rodentia; Muridae. The record is from RNAcentral.